This 170-nucleotide transfer RNA is filed under the name Podospora anserina S mat+. The stretch from base 35 to 134 matches the Rfam family "tRNA". Rfam says of the family: Transfer RNA (tRNA) molecules are approximately 80 nucleotides in length. Their secondary structure includes four short double-helical elements and three loops (D, anti-codon, and T loops). The record is from RNAcentral. Lineage: Eukaryota; Fungi; Ascomycota; Sordariomycetes; Sordariales; Podosporaceae. RNAcentral also lists the same sequence under 1 other name.
UUCUUCUUUCCAAAUCAACCAACAGUUAGCAUCGGUCAGCAUGGCAGAGUGGUCUAAUGCGUUAGACUUGAAUAUCCAUUACAUUCAGGUAUCUAAUUCCUUCGGGAGCGUAGGUUCGAACCCUACUGCUGACGAUAAUCUUUUGCAUUUUUCCACACCUCACCCAUCUC